AGACGUGGUGGGGAGUGAGAUUAAAACAACGCUCAUGUUUUCCUAGAGGUUCCGUUUUACUUGGAGCAAGAAACGAGACGAAAAGUGCCUUAAGUACGGAGGUAAACAAAAAAAAAUCUUCAAGAAGUCCAUGAAAAUGACCAGAUUUACUAGACCCGGCCCUGCCAGAGUAAACAAUAAAAGCUGAGAGUCCUGAGCUGAACAGUAGGUUUGACACAAACUCAGCUGCAAACAAGACUCAGAUCAGCUGAGCUGCCUGGAAGAGGUUCGGCCACCCCAGGCACCUGGAAAGGACGCUCUCCAACCAGCCGGCUGAGCUCCCUGCAGGCUGAGCAGCGUGCUCCAGGUUUCCAGCUUUGGGAGCUGUUAACCUGUGCGGGUGUGGGCUUCAGUGAUGCAGUAAGUAACCCUUCACCCGUGUUCCUGUCAUAACCACAAUAAAACUCAGUAGUUCUCCAA
Long non-coding RNA from Mesocricetus auratus (golden hamster), 459 nucleotides. RefSeq lists it as uncharacterized. The transcript has 2 exons. The record is from RefSeq and is a predicted model, not a curated record. NCBI's taxonomy places the organism in Eukaryota, Metazoa, Chordata, Mammalia, Rodentia, Cricetidae.